GUUAUUUCCUAUAAUCUUAACAUUUGACCGUCUAAUUAACAAUUAAGUUGAUUAUAGAAUUUUAAAUAACAUGACUUAGGGUAAUAACAUGAUAUGGAACAUACAUCUAACUUUUUUAUUUUUUAUAAUGUUGAUAAUAAUGUUUAGGUUAAUAUUUUGAAUGGUCUUGAAGCAUUGGAUCGGUAGCUAAUUGCAAGAGGGAUGAUUUUAGAAAGAAAUUCAUGGCAGCCAAUCCUUACUUUGGAAAGGCAGUGACGAGGGUGAGUACAAGGACAAGAAGAAGAAAUAUAUGUUGUUUGACAAUGAAUUUAGUGUUUUAUUAUAUUUGUAAUUUUUAUUAGAGUAAAUGAUUCUUGUUUGAAUGGUUAAUUAUUUACUUUGUAAAUCUAGUUAUAUAUUUUUUAAGGUCAAGACGAUUAUAAUUUUAAUAA
Humulus lupulus (European hop) is the source of this 431-nucleotide long non-coding RNA. RefSeq lists it as uncharacterized. Lineage: Eukaryota; Viridiplantae; Streptophyta; Magnoliopsida; Rosales; Cannabaceae. The transcript has 2 exons. The record is from RefSeq and is a predicted model, not a curated record.